GUGGGGAAUAUUGCGCAAUGGGCGAAAGCCUGACGCAGCGACGCCGCGUGAGGGAUGAAGGUUUUCGGAUCGUAAACCUCUGUCAGAAGGGAAGAAACUACAUUGUGCUAAUCAGCAGUGUACUGACGGUACCUUCAAAGGAAGCACCGGCUAACUCCGUGCCAGCAGCCGCGGUAAUACGGAGGGUGCAAGCGUUAAUCGGAAUUACUGGGCGUAAAGCGCACGUAGGCUGUAGUGUAAGUCAGGGGUGAAAUCCCACGGCUCAACCGUGGAACUGCCUUUGAUACUGCACAACUUGAAUCCGGGAGAGGGUGGCGGAAUUCCAGGUGUAGGAGUGAAAUCCGUAGAUAUCUGGAGGAACAUCAGUGGCGAAGGCGGCCACCUGGACCGGUAUUGACGCUGAGGAGCGAAAGCGUGGGGAGCAAACAGGAUUAGAUACCCCAGUAGUCC
RNAcentral lists this ribosomal RNA (450 nucleotides) under uncultured bacterium. RNAcentral's name for it is "partial 16S ribosomal RNA". It matches the Rfam family "Bacterial small subunit ribosomal RNA", at positions 354 to 796 of the family's 1533-position model. The record is from RNAcentral.